AUGAAAAAAAAAGUAUCAGGUGGAUUAAAUAAUAAUAUUAAUAGUAAAGUAAACAAUGAUACAUAUCAGAGUGGACAUUUAAAUAAAAAACAGCAAGAAAAACUAAUAUCAGGUGAAUAUAUUUUAAAAAAUAAUACAACAUUAAACAAUAAUGUUGAAGAAAAAGGAAAAGAAAAAGGAACAGAAGAAGGAACAGAAGAAGAAGAAUAUUCCGAUUUUGUAACUUAUUUUACAAAUCGUAAAAAAAUAAAAGCAUUAUAUGAACAUUUAUUUAAAUAUUAUAUUUAUCGAAUAUUUUUAGUGGAUGAUAGUGUGUUGAAUAAAUGUGUUAAUUCCAUUAGAGAACAUAAUGAACAAUACAAUACAUUUCUGAAACAAAAGGAGAUGUCAGAAGGUAAAAAUAUAGAUUUGUUUGAAGAUAUAUAUAACAAAAAAAAUGAUAAAAACGGCAACAGUAACAGUAAUAAUAAAAAUUGUGCUAGUCAAAAUAGUGAAAACAAAAAUAGUGUUAAUAAGAGAAGUAAUCAAAAUUUUGACGAAUCACUUAUACAAACACAAGAUUAUAUUAUAAAUAGCAUAUUCGACGUUUUUUAUAACAUUUCUAAAUUUUAUCCACAUGACAGUGGAAGAAUUUUUGUUUUUAUUUUACAAGUAUUAAAUUUAAAAGCAGGAGAUGUUGUUUAUAUUAAACCAGGUGUUAUUCAUUCUUAUAUAAGUGGUGACUGUAUAGAAUGUAUGACUAAUUCCGAUUUAGUUAUAAGAGGGGGAUUAACAAGUAAAGAAGUAGACAAAUUAAAUUUCAUUAAAUAUGUUAACUAUAAAAAUAAUUACCCAUUAAUAUUAGAAAAAGAAUUUAUAAAUUAUAAUAUAAUCUCAUACAGUUAUAAAAAUAUGAAAUAUUUUAAAAUAUUAUAUAUAAAAAUUGGACCUGGUGAAACAGUUACUUAUAUGUUUUCGGAAAAAAGUUUUACUUCAUGUAUUGUUCUUUCGAAUAAUAAAAAAAUUAAAAUAAAAGGAAAAAAAUUUGAAAAAAAAAAGCAAGUAUUAAAGGCGUAA
RNAcentral lists this long non-coding RNA (1056 nucleotides) under Piliocolobus tephrosceles (Ugandan red Colobus). RNAcentral's name for it is "lncRNA (ENSPTEG00000006351.1)". Lineage: Eukaryota; Metazoa; Chordata; Mammalia; Primates; Cercopithecidae. The record is from RNAcentral.